GUCUUCGUGGCUCAGUUGGUUAGAGCGUUGGUCUCAUAUCGUCUUCGAUCAUGAGGAUGUCCACGACAUCCUGAUAUCCAAAGGUCGCGAGUUCGAGUCUCGCCGAGGACA
RNAcentral lists this transfer RNA (111 nucleotides) under Blumeria hordei DH14. RNAcentral describes it as "Blumeria graminis f. sp. hordei DH14 tRNA". It matches the Rfam family "tRNA". From Rfam's summary of the family: Transfer RNA (tRNA) molecules are approximately 80 nucleotides in length. The record is from Rfam by way of RNAcentral. Lineage: Eukaryota; Fungi; Ascomycota; Leotiomycetes; Helotiales; Erysiphaceae.